GGACCCAAAAGUCCCAACUUUGUAACUCUGAAUCAUGCAUAACACAUAUCACAAUAAAUCACAACACAUAAACAACAUGCAAAUACACUGGCAUAUAUCUCUAUAGUACUCUGUCACAUAACUCUGUUACCACACUAGGUAAAGUAUAAUGAGAAGACUCACCUCAGGCGUCUCGGUAAAUCUCUACUCGAUGGAAAAUAUUGCCGAGUUCCUCCACAAAUUCCAAAAUAAAUAAAUAAAUUAAUAUACUUGGAAAUUCAGGAUGUUACAAUUCUCCCCCACUAGAAUCCGACUUCGCCCUCGAAGUCUCAAUCUGAAAACAACUCUGGAUGCUGCUCACGCAUCUCGCGCUCCGACUCCCAAGUAGGCUCUGACCCUUUCCGGUGUUGCCACUGGACCUCCACCAGAGGCACCUCUUUGUUCCUCAGAACCUUGAUCUUCCGAUNNNNNNNNNNNNNNNNNNNCACCGGUCUCUCAGCAUAAUUCAGGCUCGCAUCCACCUGAAUAUCCUCCAAUGGUACCACUGCUAACUCAUCGGCUAUACACUUUCGCAACUGCGACACGUGGAAAGUGUCAUGGAUCUGUCCCAAAUCUACAGGUAGCUCCAACCGGUAGGCUACCCUGCCUACCCUUGCAAUCACCCGAAAAGGACCAAUAUAUCGGGGCCCCAACUUGCCCUCUUCCCGAAUCAGAUCACUCCUUUCCAAGGAGAGACCUUCAGGAGUACAAAGUCGCCGACCUGGAACUCGAGCUCGGACCGGCACGUGUCCGCAUAAAUCUUCUGACGACUCUGAGCGGUCAAGAACCUCUGCCUGACCUGUUGUAUCUGCUCAGUCGUCUGAAGCACGAUCUCGGUACUACCCAUAACACGUUGCCCGACCUCUCCCCAGCAAAUGGGGGUCUGACACCUUCUCCCAUACAACAGCUCAAAGGGUGGCAUACCAAUGCUCGAAUGAUGGCUGUUGUUGUAAGAAAACUCUGCCAAGGGAAAAUACAUGUCCCAACUCCCACCGGAAUCCAACACACAUGCCCGGAGCAUAUCCUCGAGCGUCUGAAUCGUCCGCUCGCUCUGUCCGUCAGUAUGGAGAUGGUAUGCGGUACUAAAAUGCAGCCUAGUACCCAAUUCCUCAUGAAAUUUCUUCCAGAAUCUGGAAGUGAAACACACAUCUCGGUCUGAGACAAUCGAGAUCGGCACCCCAUGCUGUGAUACCACCUCCCUCACGUACAUCUCGGCCAACUUCUCUGCGGAAGAGCUCUCGCUGAUAGCAAGGAAGUGGGCGCUCUUUGUCAACCUUUCCACAAUCACCCAAAUUGCAUCGACUCCCCUAGCAGUCCUUGGCAAUUUGGUGAUUAAAUCCAUGGUAAUCUGUUCCCACUUCCAUUCGGGAACCUCCAACGGCUGCAACUUACCAUGCGGUCUUUGGUGCUCGGCCUUAACCCUACGACAGGUCAAGCACCUCUCAACAAACCACGCGACAUCUCUCUUCAUACAAGGCCACCAAUACUCUCUCUUCAGAUCUAAAUACAUCUUAGUGGCCCCAGGAUGGAUCGAGAACUUCGAUCGAUGAGCCUCUUCCAUCAAAAUGGUACGCGUCCCGCCCACCAACGGUACCCAAAUACGACCCUCAAAUGUCAUAAGCCCCCGGCUGUCGGUAACGAACUCCGAUACCAUCCCGACAACUCACUCCCUCUUUUGGUUCUCUGAUCUCACGGCCUCAGCCUGUGCCCCAUGAAUGGUGUCCAACACCGAAGCCAUCACGGUCAAUCGCAAACAUACAUCUCGCAGUGGGGCGCUCUCCGCGCUGCGGCUCAGUGCAUCGGCUACAACAUUAGCCUUACCCGGGUGGUACAGGAUCUCAUAAUCAUAAUCCUUGACCACGUCCAACCGCCUCCUCGGUCGCAUAUUUAGGUUAGUCUGAUCCAUCAAAUACUUCAGGCUCUUAUGGUCUGUGUAUAUCGUACACCGAACCCCAUAAAAUAGUGACGCCAAACCCAACACUAGAUCGUGGGUGGGAUACCUCGACUCAUGAGGCUUCAGUUGCCUCGAUGCGUAUGCUAUCACAUGCCCUCUCUGCAUCAGCACCGUUCCCAACCCCAAGAUCGACGCAUCACAAUAUAUCACAAAGUCCUGCAUUCCCUCCGGGAGGGCCAACACCGGGGCUUCGCAUAACCUUUGGCGAAGUGUCUCAAAGGAGGCCUGCUGCUGGGGGCCCCAUGAAAAAGAGACACCCUUCCAGGUCAGCCUGGUGAGUGGCACUGCGAUCUUGGAGAAAUCCCUGAUAAAUCUCUGAUAAUAGCCUGCCAACCCUAAGAAACUCCUGAUCUAGGAGGGUGACCUCGGCACCUCCCAACUCAUCACUGCCUCCACUUUGGCCGGGUCAACCAAUAUCCCUUUCUGGUUAACGAUGUGUCCUAGGAACUGGACCUCUCGCAACCAGAAAUCACACUUGGAGAAUUUGGCAUAAAGCCUCUCCGAUCUCAGAACUCCGAGGAUCUCCCUCAAAUGCUCCUCAUGUUGCUCUCUAGAUCUCGAAUACACCAAAAUGUCGUCGAUGAACACAAUCACUGACCGAUCCAACAUCGGCCUGCACACUCUGUUCAUGAGGUCUAUGAACAUUGUCGGGGCAUUGGUGAGUCCGAAAGGCAUCACCACAAACUCAUAAUGCCCAUAACGCGUCCUGAACGUUGUCUUCUGGUUGUCCUCAUCUCGCACCCUUACCUGAUGAUAUCCAAACCUCAAAUCGAUCAUGGAGAACCAAGAUGCUCCCUGCAACUGAUCGAACAAAUCGUCGAUCCUCGGCAACGGGUAACGGUUCUUGACCGUCAGCUUGUUCAACUCCCGGUAAUCAAUGCACAUCCGGUGUGAACCAUCCUUCUUCUUGACAAAAAGGAUAGGCGCUCCCCACGGUGAGCUGCUCGGCCGAAUAAACCCCUUUCCCAGCAGCUCCUGAAGCUGCAAGGAUAACUCUUGCAUCUCUCGGGGUGCAAGGCGAUAGGGCACCUUGGCGAUAGACGCGGCCCCCAGGACCAAAUCAAUACAGAACUCCACUUGCCUCACCGGAGGCACACCCGGCAACUCCUCUGGAAAUACGUCCGAGAACUCACGCACUAUCGGGACCUCCUCAACUGACCUCGGUCUCUCUGAAUCAACCCGUGUAUCCAUCACAUACGCCACAAAGCCCUUACAGCCCUGCUGUAGACACUGCCUCACCCUAGCGGCCGAAAAAAAUGCUGACCCAGAACGUGUACCCUCGCCGUACACCGUAAGAACUCCCCCACUAGGGUCUCGUAUGGUCACCAGCUGUCGCUCGCAGUCGAUAACCGCUCCGAAUCUGCUCAACCAGUCCAUGCCCACAAUGACACAGACAUCACCCAUCGCAAUAGGAAUCAAACAAUUGGGAACUCAACACCGAAAAUCUCGAACACGCACCCUCGGAUCACCUUUGUGGCAUAUAUCACCCUCUCGUCAACUAUGGAAACCCUACGAGUUCGACUCAACACCUCACGACUAACACUGAUAUGCUGACUAAAAGCCAAAGAUACAAAAGACCGACUCGCAUCCGAGUCAAAUAACACCAAGGCAGGUACAGAACUCACAAGAAAAGUACCUACGCAUAACAUAAUAUGAGCACAAAAUCUCAACAUCAAAAUAAAUAUAUGAAAGAAUACAUACCAGCCACGACACCGGGCGCUGCGCGGACAUCCUCCGCGGUCAACUGGAAGGCUCUCCCUCGUGCCCUCGGUGCCUCGGUCUUCACUGCCCGACUCUCAGUAGCUCUGAUGGCGGCAGGGGCAGAUCCCUGAGGUGCUCCCUGUGCUGAUCCCCGCAACUGCGGACACUCUGCCUUCCGGUGUCUGGUCUGGUUGCAGUGAAAACAUACUGCAAACCCCUUGGGGCAGUCCUUGGCCGUAUGCCCCUCCUUGCCACAUUUGUAGCAAGACCCUGCUCUGCACACCCCGUCGUGGCUCUUGCNCCCGCCCUUGCCACAGGUGCGGCCCCUCUGGCUCCCUGAUCUCGAAUCGGCGGGCUUGGCCCGCUUGGCUACCGGCUAAGACUGCACCGGUCGCCGAUCCCCCCCCUGAGACUCAGCCUCCUCCCUAGCCUGAGUCUCCAGCUCUAUCUCCCUCUUCCGGGCAUUCGCCUGAAGCUCAGAAAAUGUUCGGUACGUCGAUUUUGCCACGAACUCACGUAUAUCCCUCCUCAGAAUGCUCAAAUAUCGACUUAUAUGUGCCUGCUCGGAGGACACGUGCUCUGGGCAGAACAUCGCCCGCUCAUGAAACAUCCUCGUAAUCACCGUAACAGACUCUGUACCCUGCUUGAGGGUCAAAAACUCUUGUCCCAAACGCUCCCUCUCCAGCUGGGGAACGUACUCAUCUUGGAACAUGGCAGUGAACCUCUCCCAGGUCACUGUCGCAAGCUCAGCAGGCGUAUAGUGCACCGUCACAAACUUCCACCAGUCCUUCGCUCCCAAGCGAAGCUGGUUCAGCGUGAACCGGACUCUCAAAUGCUCAGGGGAUGAGCAAGUAAAGAAAAACCCCUCUAUGUCUGAAAUCCAUCUAAUCGCCGCAAUCGGGUCCUGGGUCCCGUCAAACUCCGGUGGUUUUGUGUUGCUGAACUCUCGGAACAGCAACGCGUCACCACCCUACGGCCUCGUCGCAGCUAUAGCUGUAGUGGCCACAACAACAGCAGCCUUAGAAAGAGCAGCAUACUUUUCAUCAAAUGUCUCUAUCAACGUGGUCUUGAUAGACCCGAACAUCUCUGGUAUCUCUGCCCUGAUGGCGGCAGCCACCUCCUCCUGGAUGAUCCUACGGAUCUCCUCAUCCCUCGUAUCGCUGAUCCCUGUUGUGUGGCGAGUCCCAACCAUGAUAUCUCUCUCUGAAAAUACAACAUAAGAAUAAAUAUCAGGGACUCGCUUGAUUAUACUUACACUCGAAUACUAUCUCUCUCUGAAAAUACAACAUAAGAAUAAAUAUCAGGGACUCACUUGAGUAUACUUACACUCGAAUACUCCAUCCUACUUGUCCCUUGGUACCCCGAGGAUUCUUACUUGGGUUAUGCACUGACCCGGUGUCUUCAGUAGUACGGGCCCAAUACUACUGUCCACACCGCAUCAGCAUUCACCCCAAGUCCUCCUCCCAGAGUCCUAAGUCCCAAGCACUCUACUCUCUCUAAUCCUAUGAUACUCGCAAACAGAUCUCUCUCACAACUUCCUCGAUGCUACCUGAACACUCUGAAAUAUUCCUAGCAGUAAGACUCCUAGACUCAGGUAUCACAUAUCAGGCCACUCUAGUCCUAAUAAGAAUACCUAGUCUACUCUAGCAUGCAUAACAUAGCUCAUCAUAUAAUAUAUCACAUCAUAUCUUAUAACGCGUAUAGUAAUGGUAAUUUGGGAAAUCACCGUUCGGGCGCUGGCUGUUCAUACACACGACUCUGAUCUCUUUGUCUCGUAAGUUCUUCUUUUGAAAACUUGUUUUAUUAAAAAAAUUUCCUCAAAUCCUCGGUUUGAGUUUAGAUACGCCUGAAGGUGCACCCGAAUCCCUCAAACCAAGGCUCUGAUUCCAAAUUGUAACACCGUAAAAAUUAAAACAAUUUUUUUUCGCAUUUUCAAACACAUUUUUACAAACCCCUUUAUUCAUAAAAUGCCAUAACAUUGUAAGCAUAAGCUUAGUGAGUUCCCCAAAAUACCACUCUAACACAUAAUAGCCACUCGAGGCUGUAACUCUGUUGACCCUCUGAUCAAUGUGUCUCAGUGGGGCCCUCCAGCCCCAACUCUCUAUGGGCCCUCUGGCCCUAACUCUAGGGACCUGAAAGUCCCAACUCUGUAACUCUGAAUCAUGCAUAACACAUAUCACAAUAAAUCACAACACAUAAACAACUUGCAAAUACAUUGGCAUAUAUCUCUAUAGUACUCUAUCACAUAACUCUGUUACCACACUAGGUAAAGUAUAUUGAGAAGACUCACCUCAAGCGUCUCGGUAAAUCUCUGACUCGAUGGAAAAUAUUGCCUAGCCUCCGCCUAUUCACAAAAUAAAUACUCUUAUAAAUAUAACUCUCGAGACUAGACUCAACCUGCCAUUGGCACCCUC
This 6087-nucleotide long non-coding RNA is filed under the name Lactuca sativa (garden lettuce). RNAcentral describes it as "long non-coding RNA (LSAT_LNC002985)". The record is from RNAcentral. Lineage: Eukaryota; Viridiplantae; Streptophyta; Magnoliopsida; Asterales; Asteraceae.